CAGCCGCCGCGGGAAUACGUAUGGGGCAAGCGUUGUCCGGAAUUAUUGGGCGUAAAGCGCGCGCAGGCGGUCAUGUAAGUCUGGUGUUUAAUCCCGGGGCUCAACCCCGGAUCGCACUGGAAACUGCGUGACUUGAGUGCAGAAGAGGAGAGUGGAAUUCCACGUGUAGCGGUGAAAUGCGUAGAGAUGUGGAGGAACACCAGUGGCGAAGGCGACUCUCUGGGCUGUAACUGACGCUGAGGCGCGAAAGCGUGGGGAGCAAACAGGAUUAGAUACCCCCGUAGUCCCUGUCUCUUAUACA
RNAcentral lists this ribosomal RNA (301 nucleotides) under uncultured bacterium. Its description in RNAcentral is "partial 16S ribosomal RNA". It matches the Rfam family "Bacterial small subunit ribosomal RNA", at positions 509 to 808 of the family's 1533-position model. The record is from RNAcentral.